UACAGAGGGUGCAAGCGUUGUUCGGAAUUAUUGGGCGUAAAGCGCGUGUAGGCGGCUUUGUAAGUCGGGUGUGAAAUCCCUCAGCUUAACUGAGGAAGUGCGCCCGAAACUGUGAGGCUUGAGUACCGGAGAGGAUGGCGGAAUUCCCCAAGUAGAGGUGAAAUUCGUAGAUAUGGGGAGGAACACCGGUGGCGAAGGCGGCCAUCUGGACGGUAACUGACGCUGAGGUGCGAAAGCGUGGGGAGCAAACAGG
This 253-nucleotide ribosomal RNA is filed under the name uncultured bacterium. RNAcentral's name for it is "partial 16S ribosomal RNA". It matches the Rfam family "Bacterial small subunit ribosomal RNA", at positions 524 to 776 of the family's 1533-position model. The record is from RNAcentral.